UAUAUAUAAAUUAAUUGGAUAGAAAUUGAAUUGCUAGUCGAAGUCCUCUCUAUAUCAUCGGUAAAUCUCUCAACAACCGCAAGACCGCGUAUUCCAAUCCUUGGUCGACUAGUCGGAUACCGAUCUUCCUGUUUGGCACUCACCACUGCCUUGAACCCGUCUAUUCAAGAUUUCUCCAAAGAAGGAAAUUGAAAUAGCACAAAAUGGAGAAGUCGAAAAGUAAGAGGAUUAGUAUGAACAUAAAUGGGAGUCUUCUACCGCAUAUUCUUGAGGCACAAUGGUCAACAAUGAAGCUCUAGUGGUUACAACAUAUAACAGAAAGAUGUCGACAACGGUUCAACUUCCAGCUGCGCUGUUCUUCUUGAUUUCGAGUCUUUCUGUAACAUGUUUGAAGCCAAAAUAAUGGAAAUAUUGAGGCAAAAGCCCAAAGACUAAACAUGCCUUCUUUAAUAACUAUUUCAUUAAACUUCUUGGAUGGGUUGAACCA
This is a long non-coding RNA of Benincasa hispida (wax gourd), 487 nucleotides long. RefSeq lists it as uncharacterized. Lineage: Eukaryota; Viridiplantae; Streptophyta; Magnoliopsida; Cucurbitales; Cucurbitaceae. The record is from RefSeq and is a predicted model, not a curated record.